This 215-nucleotide long non-coding RNA is filed under the name Mytilus galloprovincialis (Mediterranean mussel). The record is from RNAcentral. Lineage: Eukaryota; Metazoa; Mollusca; Bivalvia; Mytilida; Mytilidae.
GUCCCUUUUUAACGUUAUAUGCUAGUGGGGGCAUCAUCUGUGUCCCUUUGGACACCUUCCCCAUUUUUUUUUUUAGAAGUUACUAUUAAUAAAAUUAAUUUUAACCAUGACAUUUUAUAUUUUAAUAUUUUAUGAUGUAUUUAACUGAGUAGUUAUUGUUGCAAAUUUCAUUAGAAAUUUGAAUUGAGAUCAUUUUUGUAAUAAGGGAAAGGGGG